UAGGGAAUAUUGCAAAAUGGGCGAAAGCCCGAUGCAGCAACGCCGCGUGGGCGAUGAAGGCCUUCGGGUCGUAAAGCCCUUUUUGAGGGGAUGAGGAAGGACAGUACCCUCAGAAUAAGCCUCGGCUAACUACGUGCCAGCAGCCGCGGUAAAACGUAGGAGGCGAGCGUUAUCCGGAUUUACUGGGCGUAAAGCGCGUGCAGGCGGAUUGGAGAGUUGGAUGUGAAAGCUCCCGGCUUAACUGGGAGAGGUCGUUCAAUACUUCCAGUCUUGAGUGCAGUAGAGGGAAGUGGAAUUCCGGGUGUAGUGGUGAAAUGCGUAGAUAUCCGGAGGAACACCAGUGGCGAAAGCGGCUUCCUGGACUGUAACUGACGCUCAGACGCGAAAGCUAGGGUAGCAAGCG
This 403-nucleotide ribosomal RNA is filed under the name uncultured bacterium. RNAcentral describes it as "bacterial SSU rRNA". It matches the Rfam family "Bacterial small subunit ribosomal RNA", at positions 355 to 774 of the family's 1533-position model. The record is from RNAcentral.